RNAcentral lists this ribosomal RNA (334 nucleotides) under uncultured Leptolinea sp. RNAcentral's name for it is "bacterial SSU rRNA". It matches the Rfam family "Bacterial small subunit ribosomal RNA", at positions 1033 to 1381 of the family's 1533-position model. The record is from RNAcentral. Lineage: Bacteria; Bacillati; Chloroflexota; Anaerolineae; Anaerolineales; Anaerolineaceae.
CACAGGUGCUGCAUGGCUGUCGUCAGCUCGUGUCGUGAGAUGUUCGGUUAAGUCCGCUAACGAGCGCAACCCUCGCUGUGUGUUAUAUGUGUCACACGGGACUGCCGGUCUUAAGCCGGAGGAAGGUGGGGAUGAUGUCAAGUCAGCAUGGCCUUUAUAUCCUGGGCUACACACACGCUACAAUGGCCAACACAAUAGGUUGCUAAGCCGCGAGGUGGCGCCAAUCCAUAAAGUUGGUCUCAGUUCAGAUUGUAGGCUGCAACCCGCCUGCAUGAAGAUGGAGUUGCUAGUAACCGCAGGUCAGCUAUACUGCGGUGAAUACGUUCCCGGGCUU